This 253-nucleotide ribosomal RNA is filed under the name uncultured bacterium. RNAcentral describes it as "partial 16S ribosomal RNA". It matches the Rfam family "Bacterial small subunit ribosomal RNA", at positions 524 to 776 of the family's 1533-position model. The record is from RNAcentral.
UACGGAGGGUGCAAGCGUUGUUCGGAAUCAUUGGGCGUAAAGAGCGUGUAGGCGGUCAGGUAAGUCAGAUGUGAAAGCCCUGGGCUCAACCCAGGAAGUGCAUUUGAAACUACCUAACUUGAGUACGGGAGAGGAAGGGGGAAUUCCCGGUGUAGAGGUGAAAUUCGUAGAUAUCGGGAGGAAUACCGGUGGCGAAGGCGCCCUUCUGGACUGAUACUGACGCUGAGACGCGAAAGCGUGGGGAGCAAACAGG